This 324-nucleotide ribosomal RNA is filed under the name uncultured eukaryote. RNAcentral's name for it is "partial 18S ribosomal RNA". It matches the Rfam family "Eukaryotic small subunit ribosomal RNA", at positions 1470 to 1796 of the family's 1831-position model. The record is from RNAcentral.
CCCUUAGACGUUCUGGGCCGCACGCGCGCUACACUGACCAGUGCAACAAGCAUCCGUCCUUGGCCGACAGGCCCGGGCAAUCUUUGAACGCUGGUCGUGAUGGGGAUAGACUUUUGCAAUUUUUGGUCUUCAACGAGGAAUUCCUAGUAAACGCAAGUCAUCAACUUGCAUUGAUUACGUCCCUGCCCUUUGUACACACCGCCCGUCGCACCUACCGAUUGAGUGAUCCGGUGAAUUAUUCGGACUGCAACGCAACCAGUUCCUGGAUGCAGUUGCGGAAAGUUUUGUGAACCUUACCACUUAGAGGAAGGAGAAGUCGUAACA